UAUAUGGUUAUAUGAAAUGACUACCCUCUUAGACCACUUGCAAGAAAUGAAUGUUGUUAGCAAUAUGAAAAUGAUCACUCUAAAAUUGCCCUAUAGACUUAGAGAAAAGAUAAAGCUGGUCUGUUCAAGGAAAAUGAGAAUUGAAAGGCCAUGAUCUGGUGAACUUCAUACAAAAGGAAGUACGGUUCAGGUCAAAUUUAUGCUAGGGAG
This is a long non-coding RNA of Amblyraja radiata (thorny skate), 210 nucleotides long. RefSeq lists it as uncharacterized. NCBI's taxonomy places the organism in Eukaryota, Metazoa, Chordata, Chondrichthyes, Rajiformes, Rajidae. The record is from RefSeq and is a predicted model, not a curated record. The transcript is spliced from 3 exons.